CACGUAGGGCGCAAGCGUUGUCCGGAAUUAUUGGGCGUAAAGAGCUCGUAGGCGGUCUGUUGCGUCCGCUGUGAAAACUCGGGGCUUAACCCCGAGCCUGCAGUGGAUACGGGCAGACUAGAGGUAGGUAGGGGAGAAUGGAAUUCCCGGUGUAGCGGUGAAAUGCGCAGAUAUCGGGCGGAACACCGGUGGCGAAGGCGGUUCUCUGGGCAUUAACUGACGCUGAGGAGCGAAAGCAUGGGGAGCGAACAGG
This 253-nucleotide ribosomal RNA is filed under the name uncultured bacterium. Its description in RNAcentral is "partial 16S ribosomal RNA". It matches the Rfam family "Bacterial small subunit ribosomal RNA", at positions 524 to 776 of the family's 1533-position model. The record is from RNAcentral.